GGCCGCCUGGCGAAAUGGCAUCGCGUCUGACUACGAAUCAGGAGAUUGCAGGUUCGAGCCCUGCGGUGGUCA
This is a transfer RNA of Jaapia argillacea, 72 nucleotides long. It matches the Rfam family "tRNA". From Rfam's summary of the family: Transfer RNA (tRNA) molecules are approximately 80 nucleotides in length. Their secondary structure includes four short double-helical elements and three loops (D, anti-codon, and T loops). The record is from Rfam. Lineage: Eukaryota; Fungi; Basidiomycota; Agaricomycetes; Jaapiales; Jaapiaceae.